GACGAACGCUGGCGGCGUGCUUAACACAUGCAAGUCGAGCGGAAAGGCCCUUCGGGGUACUCGAGCGGCGAACGGGUGAGUAACACGUGAGUAACCUGCCCUGGACUUUGGGAUAACCCUCGGAAACGGGGGCUAAUACCGAAUACGACACUCUACCGCAUGGUGUGGGCGUGGAAAGUUUUUCGGUCUGGGAUGGACUCGCGGCCUAUCAGCUUGUUGGUGGGGUAAUGGCCUACCAAGGCGACGACGGGUAGCCGGCCUGAGAGGGCGACCGGCCACCCUGGGGCUGAGGCACGGCCCAGACUCCUACGGGAGGCAGCAGUGGGGAAUAUUGCACAAUGGGCGGAAGCCUGAUGCAGCGACGCCGCGGGAGGGAUGACGGCCUUCGGGUUGUAAACCUCUUUCAGCAGGGACGAAGCGCAAGUGACGGUACCUGCAGAAGAAGCGCCGGCCAACUACGUGCCAGCAGCCGCCGUAA
This 478-nucleotide ribosomal RNA is filed under the name uncultured bacterium. RNAcentral's name for it is "partial 16S ribosomal RNA". It matches the Rfam family "Bacterial small subunit ribosomal RNA", at positions 28 to 523 of the family's 1533-position model. The record is from RNAcentral.